RNAcentral lists this ribosomal RNA (291 nucleotides) under Clostridioides difficile. RNAcentral describes it as "partial 23S ribosomal RNA". It matches the Rfam family "Bacterial large subunit ribosomal RNA", at positions 624 to 912 of the family's 2925-position model. The record is from RNAcentral. Lineage: Bacteria; Bacillati; Bacillota; Clostridia; Peptostreptococcales; Peptostreptococcaceae.
ACGAGUUACGUUAAGUAGCAAGGUUAAGCACUUAAGGUGCGGGGCCGUAGCGAAAGCGAGUUUUAACUGAGCGUUCAGUUACUGGACGUAGACCCGAAACCGGGCGACCUACCCAUGAGCAGGAUGAAGCGAAAGUAAAAUGUCGUGGAGGUCCGAACCCACGAGCGUUGAAAAGCUCGGGGAUGACUUGUGGGUAGCGGUGAAAUUCCAAUCGAGCCCGGAGAUAGCUGGUUCUCCCCGAAAUAGCUUUAGGGCUAGCCUCAAGGUGAGAGAUACGGAGGUAGAGCACUG